Molecule: non-coding RNA, 193 nt
Organism: Zea mays
Lineage: Eukaryota; Viridiplantae; Streptophyta; Magnoliopsida; Poales; Poaceae
Source: Rfam
GCGGUAAGAGUGAGUCAGGGCUAGCCAAGGAGACUGCCCGUGAGAGACCAACGUACACCCCAAGCUUCGUCAUCCUCUCAUCGAUCGAUCGCUCGCUCGCUCGUCGGUCGACACGAGAUGGUCCUUGCAUGAGGGGAGCGUGGCCAGCACACAGGCAAGUCAUCCUUGGCUACCAGAGCUACCACUCUCAUCG